Molecule: ribosomal RNA, 253 nt
Filed under: uncultured bacterium
Lineage: Bacteria
Description: partial 16S ribosomal RNA
Rfam family: Bacterial small subunit ribosomal RNA
Source: RNAcentral
UACGUAGGGGGCGAGCGUUAUCCGGAAUUACUGGGUGUAAAGGGAGCGUAGACGGCGAAGUAAGCCUGAAGUGGAAGCCCGCGGCCCAACCGCGGAACUGCUUUAGGAACUGCUUAGCUGGAGUAUGGGAGGGGUAAGCGGAAUUCCUGGUGUAGCGGUGAAAUGCGUAGAUAUCAGGAGGAACACCGGUGGCGAAGGCGGCUUACUGGACCAUGACUGACGUUGAGGCUCGAAAGCGUGGGGAGCGAACAGG